ACAUUGGUGGUUUUGGUAGAAAUCUUGCCUGCCAUGUGGGAGACCUGGGUUCGAUUCCCUGCUAAUGCA
This is a non-coding RNA of Danio rerio (zebrafish), 69 nucleotides long. NCBI's taxonomy places the organism in Eukaryota, Metazoa, Chordata, Actinopteri, Cypriniformes, Danionidae. The record is from Rfam.